RNAcentral lists this long non-coding RNA (1553 nucleotides) under Homo sapiens (human). RNAcentral describes it as "HSALNT0042419". Lineage: Eukaryota; Metazoa; Chordata; Mammalia; Primates; Hominidae. The record is from RNAcentral.
UUGCAUCAUCUUCCAUACACCCUGGCCAAGCCCUUUCUAAUCUUUGGGAAAGACUUUUCCUUCAUGUUUUUGGCUAAAACAUUUAGCCUGAUAAACUCUAAUAAACUCUCUCCUUUUCCUAGCCUUGGCCUUUUGCAAGUCAAACAAGGAGAAUUCAUAGGCUACUUUGUUUUAUUGCUCUGCUGUUUUCCCUAGUCCUUAGACCAUGCCACCUUCUGAUCCCUGAGGCAAUGUCCACAGGGGUUACCUACCUGUGGAAAGGAAAGGAAAGGAAAAUGGAUAAGAAGAACAAAACAAGAACUAAAAGAAACACAGGCACAAGGAAGUCACAUGUGGCCUGCCCAGCUUUGCAAUAUAGCCUGACUGAGGAAGCCUACACAGAUAUGCCCUAGGAAUCAGACAAUAAAACUGAAAAACAGACUAUAUAUAAAUGGACAACUGAGAAAAGAAGAUAGAUGUGGUGAGGAACCAGUCUUCUUGAAUCCCAGAUGGUUUCUAGUGGAUUUAUCUUAGCGGUUUGCUGAACUUCCCCCAGAAACCUGCUCGGAAGUCACCUGAGCCUUAGCCAGCAGAGGACUCUUUUGAUCCAUGUCCUUAGGCUGUUGAGCUCAGCUCAGGGAAUUGCUCCAUCCAGACCACCACAGCUCUUCCAGAUUUAAACUGAAACAUUGCCUCUUCCUGGGUCUUGAACAUGCCAGCCUUCAGCCUGUAACUACACCAUUGGCUCUUCUGGGUCUCCAGCUUGUCAACUCACCCUGUAGGUCUUAGGACUUGUCAGCCUCCAUAAUUGGGGACAUGAAGAGCAAGAAAUGGAAACAAGCGAGCCCCACAGAGAGUUCGGAUUAAUGUGCAGUAAUUGCAUCACUGAUAUCUGUGUCCAGUCACAGUUGGCAUUCAAGAUUCUGUUGACUUUUACUGUUGAAGGCUUCCUUUAAGGGAAGCAAACACAAAUAAAAAGGCUGCCUCUCCACUGUAGCAAAGCUAAGUAAGAUCACUGUCCAACCCAGGAUAUCCAAAUUCAUGGUCAAAAAUCCAAAAGGUAAUGUGGGCUCAUCCAGCGCUUCUGGAGCAGCAGGGAAGCUUUGCCACAGGAUCCAGCAUCUCAGGGCACAGUAUCUUGCAUGGCUGACUUGAUCUCACUUUCUUCCUCGGAGCAGCUGUGUGGCAAUUCAGAGGUGAAGAGGCAGAUAAUUGGACAGUGGAAUUGAGUCCUGUGUGAUACAGAGCUAAAAAAGAAAUUCCUUCAGUAUCAACAGCAGUGUGGAAAGAACCCAACAAACAAAACUCUGUAUGUACAGCAAAUGAAGCCAAAGGGUGGCUUGAGAACAGUGGAGUUCUGCUUGGAUGUGACGAGACCACCAGCCAGAAAGCUCAGAGGCAUUACUCAUGAUGCAAGGCUGCUGUCAAGUAAUGAUUUAACUUAAAAAUGCCAUCUAUUCUUUUCCCUACCUGCCUACUCAGUACAUUGCAAAUUAACAUGAAAAGUGACUUCAGCACAAAUUGUUUAAUUUGUUUUUGUCAGGCCCGAGGUGUUGUGGAAACAAGAGACCCAG